UGCAGGCUUCACCGUCGGCUCUGCCUUUCCCUUCCUGCUGCUUCUCAUCACCCCUGCACUGAGGCCCUCCUGAGUUCAGAUUCAAUCUGCUCACCGUUUGCCUGGCCCCUGCAGCUUGCCAGGAGCUCUGUACACAGAGCACAACUAAAUGGCUCUCAGGAAUAUUUUGAAGGCAUUUCUUUCCCAACAUGUCACAACCCAGUGCUUUACCAGAGCAUGAUGUUUGGCGAGUAAUGGGCUGUGUGUGGGGCCAUCAGCUUUCUUCCCCAUGCAGUAUAGCUAUAGGCUUUGUCUUC
RNAcentral lists this long non-coding RNA (296 nucleotides) under Chinchilla lanigera (long-tailed chinchilla). RNAcentral describes it as "lncRNA (ENSCLAG00000023306.1)". The record is from RNAcentral. Lineage: Eukaryota; Metazoa; Chordata; Mammalia; Rodentia; Chinchillidae.